This 99-nucleotide ribosomal RNA is filed under the name uncultured bacterium. RNAcentral describes it as "partial 16S ribosomal RNA". It matches the Rfam family "Bacterial small subunit ribosomal RNA", at positions 1384 to 1482 of the family's 1533-position model. The record is from RNAcentral.
UACACACCGCCCGUCACACCAUGGGAGUUGAUUGCACCAGAAGUAGGUAACCUAACCGCAAGGAGGGCGCUUACCACGGUGUGGUCAAUGACUGGGGUG